UUAAUUGAAACCAAAAUAGAGGUAUAUCACUGUUAAUGAUAUUAUUGAAUAAUAAAAUAUUCCAAUUAAG
This 70-nucleotide transfer RNA is filed under the name Haemagogus leucocelaenus. RNAcentral's name for it is "tRNA-Asn". Lineage: Eukaryota; Metazoa; Arthropoda; Insecta; Diptera; Culicidae. The record is from RNAcentral.